AGUCGAGGGGUACAGGAGAGCUUGCUCUCGCUGACGACCGGCGCACGGGUGCGGAACGCGUAUGGAACCUACCUCAAUCAGGGGGAUAGCCCAGGGAAACUUGGAUUAAUACCCCAUAGUAUUGUUUUAUUGCAUGAUAGAACAAUUAAAACUUCGGUGGAUUGAGAUGGCCAUGCGUAUCAUUAGCUAGUUGGUAAGGUAACGGCUUACCAAGGCGACGAUGAUUAGGGGCCCUGAGAGGGGGAUCCCCCACACUGGUACUGAGACACGGACCAGACUCCUACGGGAGGCAGCAGUGAGGAAUAUUGGACAAUGGUCGGAAGACUGAUCCAGCCAUGCCGCGUGCAGGAUGACUGCCCUAUGGGUUGUAAACUGCUUUUGUACGAGAAGAACACCCUCUUCGUGAAGAGGACUGACGGUAUCGUACGAAUAAGGACCGGCUAACUCCGUGCCAGCAGCCGCGGUAAUACGGAGGGUCCGAGCGUUAUCCGGAAUCAUUGGGUUUAAAGGGUCCGUAGGCGGGCUAUUAAGUCAGAGGUGAAAUUGUGCAGCUCAACUGUAGAACUGCCUUUGAUACUGAUAGUCUUGAGUUAUGGUGAGGUAGCCGGAACAUGUGGUGUAGCGGUGAAAUGCAUAGAUAUCACAUAGAACGCCGAUUGCGAAGGCAGGUUACCAACCAUAUACUGACGCUGAUGGACGAAAGCGUGGGGAGCGAACGGGAUUAGAUACCCCGGUAGUCCACGCCGUAAACGAUGGAUACUAGCUGUUGGGUUUUCGGACUCAGCGGCCAAGCGAAAGUGAUAAGUAUCCCACCUGGGGAGUACGUUCGCAAGAAUGAAACUCAAAGGAAUUGACGGGGGCCCGCACAAGCGGUGGAG
This 878-nucleotide ribosomal RNA is filed under the name uncultured microorganism. RNAcentral describes it as "bacterial SSU rRNA". It matches the Rfam family "Bacterial small subunit ribosomal RNA", at positions 60 to 937 of the family's 1533-position model. The record is from RNAcentral.